This 1445-nucleotide ribosomal RNA is filed under the name Mammaliicoccus sciuri. Its description in RNAcentral is "bacterial SSU rRNA". Lineage: Bacteria; Bacillati; Bacillota; Bacilli; Caryophanales; Staphylococcaceae. The record is from RNAcentral.
CGCUGCUAUACAUGCAGUCGAGCGAACAGAUGAGAAGCUUGCUUCUCUGAUGUUAGCGGCGGACGGGUGAGUAACACGUGGGUAACCUACCUAUAAGACUGGGAUAACUCCGGGAAACCGGGGCUAAUACCGGAUAAUAUUUUGAACCGCAUGGUUCGAUAGUGAAAGACGGUUUCGGCUGUCACUUAUAGAUGGACCCGCGCCGUAUUAGCUAGUUGGUAAGGUAACGGCUUACCAAGGCGACGAUACGUAGCCGACCUGAGAGGGUGAUCGGCCACACUGGAACUGAGACACGGUCCAGACUCCUACGGGAGGCAGCAGUAGGGAAUCUUCCGCAAUGGGCGAAAGCCUGACGGAGCAACGCCGCGUGAGUGAUGAAGGUCUUCGGAUCGUAAAACUCUGUUGUUAGGGAAGAACAAAUUUGUUAGUAACUGAWCAAGUCUUGACGGUACCUAACCAGAAAGCCACGGCUAACUACGUGCCAGCAGCCGCGGUAAUACGUAGGUGGCAAGCGUUAUCCGGAAUUAUUGGGSGUAAAGCGCGCGUAGGCGGUUUCUUAAGUCUGAUGUGAAAKCCCACGGCUCAACCGUGGAGGGGUCAUUGGAAACUGGGAAACUUGAGUGCAGAAGAGGGAGAGUGGAAUUUCCAUGUGUAGCGGUGAAAUGCGCAGAGAUAUGGAGGAAACACCAGUGGCGAAGGCGGCUCUCUGGUCUGUAACUGACGCUGAUGUGCGAAAGCGUGGGGAUCAAACAGGAUUAGAUACCCUGGUAGUCCACGCCGUAAACGAUGAGUGCUAAGUGUUAGGGGGUUUCCGCCCCUUAGUGCUGCAGCUAACGCAUUAAGCACUCCGCCUGGGGAGUACGACCGCAAGGUUGAAACUCAAAGGAAUUGACGGGGACCCGCACAAGCGGUGGAGCAUGUGGUUUAAUUCGAAGCAACGCGAAGAACCUUACCAAAUCUUGACAUCCUUUGACCGCUCUAGAGAUAGAGUCUUCCCCUUCGGGGGACAAAGUGACAGGUGGUGCAUGGUUGUCGUCAGCUCGUGUCGUGAGAUGUUGGGUUAAGUCCCGCAACGAGCGCAACCCUUAAGCUUAGUUGCCAUCAUUAAGUUGGGCACUCUAGGUUGACUGCCGGUGACAAACCGGAGGAAGGUGGGGAUGACGUCAAAUCAUCAUGCCCCUUAUGAUUUGGGCUACACACGUGCUACAAUGGAUAAUACAAAGGGCAGCGAAUCCGCGAGGCCAAGCAAAUCCCAUAAAAUUAUUCUCAGUUCGGAUUGUAGUCUGCAACUCGACUACAUGAAGCUGGAAUCGCUAGUAAUCGUAGAUCAGCAUGCUACGGUGAAUACGUUCCCGGGUCUUGUACACACCGCCCGUCACACCACGAGAGUUUGUAACACCCGAAGCCGGUGGAGUAACCUUUUAGGAGCUAGCCGUCGAAGUGAC